UCUAUCCAUUCCACACUCACUUAAAGGUGUAAGAAGGUCACUAACGAAGCUCGGUGCAAGCGGAUUUUGAAGGACCUUCUUCGUUUGCUAUUAACCACCACUUUUCUUCACUUGAACUCCCCUAGCCUUAAGCUAGUGAUGGAAUCAUGAUAUACUUGUGUCACGACGCAUUAUAAGCAAAUCCGGUGAAGUUUACGACGCAAGGAACGCAAAGUUGUGAGUUC
This 224-nucleotide long non-coding RNA is filed under the name Helianthus annuus (common sunflower). RNAcentral describes it as "hypothetical non coding rna". The record is from RNAcentral. Lineage: Eukaryota; Viridiplantae; Streptophyta; Magnoliopsida; Asterales; Asteraceae.